RNAcentral lists this ribosomal RNA (436 nucleotides) under uncultured bacterium. RNAcentral describes it as "partial 16S ribosomal RNA". It matches the Rfam family "Bacterial small subunit ribosomal RNA", at positions 28 to 507 of the family's 1533-position model. The record is from RNAcentral.
GAUGAACGCUGGCGGUAUGCUUAACACAUGCAAGUCGAACGGGGUUCAUAGUCACCUAGUGGCGGACGGGUGAGUAACGCGUGAGAAUCUGGCCUCAGGUCCGGGACAACCACGGGAAACGGUGGCUAAUACCGGAUGUGCCAUAUUGGUGAAAGAUUAAUUGCCUGAGGAUGAGCUCGCGUCUGAUUAGCUAGUUGGUGGGGUAAAGGCUUACCAAGGCGACGAUCAGUAACUGGUCUGAGAGGAUGACCAGUCACACUGGGACUGAGACACGGCCCAGACUCCUACGGGAGGCAGCAGUGGGGAAUUUUCCGCAAUGGGCGAAAGCCUGACGGAGCAAUACCGCGUGAGGGAGGAAGGCUCUUGGGUUGUAAACCUCUUUUCUCAGGGAAGAACAAUGACGGUACCUGAGGAAUCAGCAUCGGCUAACUCCGUG